CAAGUUAAAGCUAAUAUUAGCGCUUUAUUUACACUAAUGAAAAUAUUGUAUAAUCAAUAUAACUUGA
Molecule: transfer RNA, 67 nt
Filed under: Cicadetta abscondita
Lineage: Eukaryota; Metazoa; Arthropoda; Insecta; Hemiptera; Cicadidae
Description: tRNA-Val
Source: RNAcentral